RNAcentral lists this long non-coding RNA (272 nucleotides) under Lathyrus oleraceus (garden pea). RNAcentral describes it as "Pisum sativum (pea) long non-coding RNA (PSAT_LNC012582)". The record is from RNAcentral. Lineage: Eukaryota; Viridiplantae; Streptophyta; Magnoliopsida; Fabales; Fabaceae.
UUCCUUUUGUCCAAUUGAGCUGAAAAUUGACAUGCUAUACCUUGAAUAUGUCCUGUUUAGGUGUGAAUUAUUUGGGGAUUUUUGGAAUUGUUUUGAUAUGCUUUUGAUUGAAGUUAUUCUGUUUGGACUUUUGAUGUUGCAUUUGACCUAGUUUGACUUGUUUUGGUCAUGAAAUGAAUAUGGUGAAUGAUAUGAGUAUGGGAUCAAUUGCAUUUGUUUUCUAUUUGUGUUAAUUUGGUUUUGGUUGAGAAUCCCUUGCUGUUUAGAUUUUU